This 253-nucleotide ribosomal RNA is filed under the name uncultured bacterium. RNAcentral's name for it is "partial 16S ribosomal RNA". It matches the Rfam family "Bacterial small subunit ribosomal RNA", at positions 524 to 776 of the family's 1533-position model. The record is from RNAcentral.
UACGGGGGGGGCAAGCGUUGUUCGGAAUUACUGGGCGUAAAGGGCUCGUAGGCGGCCAACUAAGUCGGACGUGAAAUCCCUCGGCUUAACCGGGGAACUGCGUCCGAUACUGGAUGGCUUGAGUUUGGGAGAGGGAUGCGGAAUUCCAGGUGUAGCGGUGAAAUGCGUAGAUAUCUGGAGGAACACCUAUUGCGAAGGCAGCUCGCUGGGACGUAACUGACGCUGAGACGCGAAAGCGUGGGGAGCAAACAGG